Long non-coding RNA from Cyanistes caeruleus (blue tit), 217 nucleotides. RefSeq lists it as uncharacterized. Lineage: Eukaryota; Metazoa; Chordata; Aves; Passeriformes; Paridae. The record is from RefSeq and is a predicted model, not a curated record.
UCACUCCUUUUCCCCAGAGCUUGCAGUAAUGAGUGGACAGCUUCUCUGCAGAAAUUGUGGUCUGUCAGAAAAAACAAAGCAGAGGAAGUCUUCAGUGCCAGAAAUGCAGCAUCAGCAAGGACAGCAAAGCCCCAAGAACUAGCAGAAGGAAUUGCCUACAUCUUCCAUGGAUACCAUGAAGAAUCAAGAAACUCAACUCAAGAAACAUGAGAAAUUA